AAACGAAGGGAAAUCGCAAUGCCGAAAGCUCAUCUCAUCACAAAGACGUUUUCCUUCUUUCGGCUCCCCCUUCUAAAUUAACCUCGUUAGGAAGAAAGACGAGAGGCGGAGAAAGC
Molecule: non-coding RNA, 116 nt
Organism: Caenorhabditis elegans
Lineage: Eukaryota; Metazoa; Nematoda; Chromadorea; Rhabditida; Rhabditidae
Source: Ensembl